Molecule: unclassified non-coding RNA, 379 nt
Filed under: plant metagenome
Description: partial contains 5.8S ribosomal RNA, internal transcribed spacer 2, and large subunit ribosomal RNA
Rfam family: 5.8S ribosomal RNA (bases 1-105)
Source: RNAcentral
GAAAUGCGAUAAGUAAUGUGAAUUGCAGAAUUCAGUGAAUCAUCGAAUCUUUGAACGCACCUUGCGCUCCUUGGUAUUCCUUGGAGCAUGCCUGUUUGAGUAUCAUGAAAUCUUCAAAGUAAAUCUUUUGUUAACUCAAUUGGUUUCUACUUUGGUAUUGGAGGUCUUUGCAGCUUCACACCUGCUCCUCUUUGUUCAUUAGCUGGAUCUCAGUGUUAUGCUUGGUUCCACUCGGCGUGAUAAGUUAUCUAUCGCUGAGGACACUGUAAAAGGUGGCCAAGGUAAAUGCAGAUGAACCGCUUCUAGUAGUCCAUUGACUUGGACAAUACUUUUAUGAUCUGGUCUCAAAUCAGGUAGGACUACCCGCUGAACUUAAGCA